GUGAGGGAUCUUGCGCAAUGGGGGCAACCCUGACGCAGCGACGUCGCGUGGGCGAAGACGGCCUUCGGGUUGUAAAGCCCUUUUCUAGGUGACGAGCAAGGACGGUAGCCUAGGAAUAAGUCUCGGCUAACUACGUGCCAGCAGCCGCGGUAAAACGUAGGAGGCGAGCGUUAUCCGGAGUAACUGGGCGUAAAGGGCGCGUAGGCGGUUGGGUAAGUGAUAGGUCAAAGACCCGUGCUCAACGCGGGGAAGGCAAAUCAGACUGCUCGGCUAGAGACAGCUAGAGGGACGCGGAAUUCGGGGUGUAGCGGUGAAAUGUGUAGAGAUCCCGAGGAACACCAGCGGUGAAGACGGCGUCCUGGGGCUGGGCUGACGCUGAAGCGCGAAGGCGUGGGGAGCGAACGGGAUUAGAUACCCCGGUAGUCC
RNAcentral lists this ribosomal RNA (426 nucleotides) under uncultured bacterium. RNAcentral's name for it is "bacterial SSU rRNA". It matches the Rfam family "Bacterial small subunit ribosomal RNA", at positions 354 to 796 of the family's 1533-position model. The record is from RNAcentral.